ACAUAAACCUUUUUAAGCUGUCAAGUGAUAUGUCAAAAUUGAUAUCCGAGUCAUUUAAAAUGCAUGCAAAUGUGGCGCAUCGACAAAAAAAAAACUCGAGCUCGGCGAAAGAAGGAGAUAUGUAGUGAGUAGUUGGACCAGGAGAAAGGAGAAAGGAGCAUCAGCAGGACUCAAACACGUAGCGAGCAGGACUCGCAGCACAUUUGCAUAAAUACGUUUACGUAAUGUGAAAUGUCAGCGAAAGCGUGAAGAACCUCGCAUGCCCCCGAAUAGUAGAGAAAGACUUUCUUCCCAUCGCAAAAACGCACUCAAUGCCGUUCGAAUUCGGUCUAUAUUUUUUUCCCGUCGCUCCAUUGAAAUUCAUAACACAUCUGAUGCAUAAACGCCCCCAAGCUGGCUAUGGAAAUUUCACGCAUUUUAUUAACACUGCAGGGGGCGUGGCACUGCCUGUCCCCGACAUGAGUGAAGUGGCAGUACAAAAAAAUAAACAAGAGUCGGAAAAUACAGCGGGAUGGGCACUGCAGCACGACGGGAGCUUAAUGAUGGAUUUAUUAAUUAUAAUUUUAUUUUCAUGUCGCAGGACAGAAUUACCAUCUAUUCAUGUUUCGAAUAACGAGUGAUAUUAUUUUUAGGCAAAAACUAUUUACGAGUGCUACGCUACACGACUUCAGUGGGUCGGGGCAACCUUGCCGGCGGCUUAGUUAUUUACAUUUGGCGGAGGAGGAGCAUCGCCGGGAGAGACACCUCCUGCACCUUCGGUUUUAUCUGGAAAUGUGCGCCAUUUCGUGCACCUUUCAGCGCUGCCAGGCAAAGAAGCUCCAUCAGCCGCUGAAUGCUCCUUCUUUUCCCCAUCGGACAGCAUCAAUCGCUUCCAAAAUAACCGGCAGCUGAUUGUUUUUUGCAAGGGGCUGUUAAAUUAUCUUACUGAGAGAAAUUUCCUAUAGUUUAAUAAAAUAUAAAUUUUUAAA
This is a long non-coding RNA of Drosophila subpulchrella, 968 nucleotides long. RefSeq lists it as uncharacterized. NCBI's taxonomy places the organism in Eukaryota, Metazoa, Arthropoda, Insecta, Diptera, Drosophilidae. The transcript is spliced from 3 exons. The record is from RefSeq and is a predicted model, not a curated record.